RNAcentral lists this ribosomal RNA (789 nucleotides) under marine sediment metagenome. RNAcentral's name for it is "bacterial SSU rRNA". It matches the Rfam family "Bacterial small subunit ribosomal RNA", at positions 727 to 1520 of the family's 1533-position model. The record is from RNAcentral.
UGCUGGGCUUUAACUGACGCUGAGGCUCGAAAGUGUGGGGAGCAAACAGGAUUAGAUACCCUGGUAGUCCACACUGUAAACGAUGAUAGCUAGGUGUGGGGGGUCUGACCCCUUCCGUGCCGGAGUUAACGCAAUAAGCUAUCCACCUGGGGAGUACGACCGCAAGGUUGAAACUCAAAGGAAUUGACGGGGGCCCGCACAAGCAGUGGAUUAUGUGGUUUAAUUCGAAGCAACGCGAAGAACCUUACCAGGUCUUGACAUCCAACUAACGAAGUAGAGAUACAUUAGGUGCCCUUCGGGGAAAGUUGAGACAGGUGGUGCAUGGUUGUCGUCAGCUCGUGUCGUGAGAUGUUGGGUUAAGUCCCGCAACGAGCGCAACCCUUGCUAUUAGUUGCUACGCAAGAGCACUCUAAUAGGACUGCCGUUGACAAAACGGAGGAAGGUGGGGACGACGUCAAAUCAUCAUGCCCCUUAUGACCUGGGCUACACACGUACUACAAUGGAUGUUAACAGAGGGAAGCAAGACAGCGAUGUGGAGCAAACCCCUAAAAACAUUCUCAGUUCAGAUUGCAGGCUGCAACCCGCCUGCAUGAAGAUGGAAUUGCUAGUAAUCGCGGAUCAGCAUGCCGCGGUGAAUACGUUCCCGGGCCUUGUACACACCGCCCGUCACACCAUGGGAGCCGGUAAUACCCGAAGUCAGUAGUCCAACCUCGUGAGGACGCUGCCGAAGGUAGGAUUGGCGACUGGGGUGAAGUCGUAACAAGGUAGCCGUAUCGGAAGGUGCGGCUG